CUAGGGCUGCUCCCGCGGCAUACGGAGGUUCCCAGGCUAGGGGUUGAAUCGGAGCUGCAACCGCCGGCCUACGCCAGAGCCACAGCAAUGCAGGAUCCGAGCCACGUCUGUGACCUACACCAGAGCUCACGGCAAUGCCGGAUCCUUAACCCACUGAGCAAGGCCAGAGAUCAAACCUGCAACCUCAUGGUUCCUAGUCAGAUUCAUUAACCACUGCGCCACGACGGGAACUCCCAGAUUGAUCUCUUUACCUGAGAAACCUCUAUGUGUUAUUUUCAAGUCCAAAACAAAGCAGGAAUUGCAGAGGCAAAAGAGAAAGUUAUAAAACUAAGGAUGUAAACCUGCAAGUUAAGGCAACACACACCAGUAGAGAAAUUCACUUGAAUAGUUCUGUGUUGGGGGAAAAACUCAGGGCAUUGUAAAUUCUGGAAGCGGGGAGCUCCUGGUGAUUCAUCUAAUUUAGCAUUAAAGACUGGCCCUCAGGGUAGGACAAACAUAGGCCACAGGUCUGAACACACUUGGCUAAGGCGAGUCCUGCUGUUAUUGGUGGAGAACAUCUCCAGUGAUGCCUACUAAGAACCUGAGACCCUGGGUCACGCAAAAUUCAUCCACCUCAAGUAUUUAGAGAAAAUUGUAAUGACACAGACCAUUUAGUCUGUUAUCACCUAGGCGAAUGGUACUGUACGUGGGAAUUUCCCACAAACCGGUUCUCCCUCUUUCCAAUGUGAUGGAUGAGAACAUGAAGUACAAGCAAAUUCUCAGGGGGGUCAGAGCUCCGCCGCCAUCUUGCUUUCAGUGCUGCUUUCACAGAUCCUAUUGUGCUUAUUCAAGUCACUCGUUAAGUCUCCUUGGAAAUAUAAUCACCUGAUGUAUGAAGCAACCAGAGAGAGGCUGUGCAAUAGCACUUAAGACCUUGUUAACAACGUCCCUGACAACAGCUACAAUUAACCUAACACUAUAACGAACACUAAACUGCCCCUUCGUCAGGCCCUUAUGUAGACAAGUCUGGAGGGGAGAUUCCAUGGGUCACCUCAUCCCACGAUGGACAAGGAAUUCCUUGUCUUUGAAUGUGAUCUAGGAACCUCUUGACUUUCUCUGAAACAUGAAUCCAAAUGCCAUAGGACGAAUUAGCCAGCGCACAAAAGCUGCCUUGUUUGGUCGGUGAGUAACCUAAAAUGAGGCAGCUGCCCCAGGUCAUUGUGAGUGAGUAAAUGAACAAGGCUCUCGCCAUUGACCUUGACCAUCGGACAUCUCCUAGACACUUUCAUCUGGUAGGACUGCCAUUCCUAGGGACAUUAUCUAAAACAGAGUUCUGAUCAGGAGCCCUAUACCAAGGGAGAAGCCAGAGUGAUGCGAAGUGAUGGAGCAGCAUCUCUCCCUCCUCUGGAACAUCUCUUCUUGCAGGCAGGUCCUUUACUGAAAUCCCAAAAUGGGUACAUGUGGUACAUGGGUACAGCCAAGCCUCCCUAAGAAGGUAGACCCCUUCCCCUUGCCAAGGCCCAUGUGGAGUGGUGAUAUUACCUUGGUAGAAAUAUACGAAACCACGUGGGCCACCACCUGUUAUUUUGGUAAAUAUUUGAAGGUCACUGUUGUGGCUCAGAUUCAGUCCCUGGCAGGAACUGCCAUAUGCUGCAGGUGAGGUCAUGAAGAAAGGAUAAAAAAAAAAAAGAAAGAAAGAAAAGAAAAUAGUGCAGUGAGUUCAAGAAGCACAAGGAUAUUUUCUUUGAUGUCUGAAAAAGAAGUACAAAGAGCUUUAUUAAUUAUUUCCUAUGAAAUAAUAAUUUACCAUCAGCAAAGGUACCGUUCGGAAAAAAUUCUAUUUAGUGUAGUUGUUCCCAAGAGUUGGUUCCUGGACAGUAACCAAAAAGAUGUCAUUCUUUCAGGUAAAGGUAUUAAUUGUAGACCAAGCAGAAACAAAUUAAUUGCCAUGAAUGCCUUAUCGUGGCCGCUAGUACCCUUUCCAGCACAGCACUUAACAGAAAGGGACGCCGUGACAUUCCAUGGGAAGAAUAACAAAUUCAAAUUGUUACCACUAUUGGUGAAUAAAAUAAGCUCCCACAAUAAUUCUGAAUUACUUAAAAUCUAGAGAAUGCCAGACAAAUCUUAUUAUUUUUAUUGUCUUUUCUUUUUAUAGCGUGAAAAGGAAAAUCUUUAUGUUUACUCACUGGCUACCCUGGGAAACGCAAAGAUAUUUUAUGUUUAAAAGCAAUCCUUAGAGUUGCAUGAUUCUAAAUUUGGGGGCUCUUUUUGGAGAAAGCAAUAUCAAAAAGAAUCAUCGGAAUAGGUUAGUCCCGAGAACAAAAGAAGUUCUUGGCUGCUUCAUUAAACCGAGCAACAAAAUAAUAGAGCGGGUUAAGGAUGCAGCAUUGCCACUGCAGCGGCUUGGGUCACUGCUGUGGUGAGGGUUUGAUCCCUGGCCCAGGAACUUCCACAUGCUGCAGGCAUGGCCAAAUAAAAUAAAAUAAAAUAACUUAGAAGCAUGAUGAGAGAGUAUAAACUAAAAACUGAAACUCUUAAGAAUUGAGUCUACGUCAAGCAAGAAUAUUUCCUCAUGUGGAAAGAAGAUAAAUAGUGCAAGGUUAUAAUUUCCCUUCAUAGGACCUCCUUUCUCUCUUAGUUAAGGUUUUUGCUUAUUGAAUCAUUGUGUUUAUAUAGUCAAACAUAUGUAAGUAUAUUAUAUAAUCUUUCACAUUAUUAAUCUUGUUAACAUAGGACAAUGUCUAUGUCACAUUGACUUUAUCACUGUGAUUCAAAUCUCAUAAAAGAGCAAACCAGUUCCUGUAUAGUCAAGAAUUAAAGUUAAAAUAACUUCAACUGUGGUGGGCUGACUGAUGACC
RNAcentral lists this long non-coding RNA (2837 nucleotides) under Sus scrofa (pig). Its description in RNAcentral is "lncRNA (ENSSSCG00000044358.1)". The record is from RNAcentral. Lineage: Eukaryota; Metazoa; Chordata; Mammalia; Artiodactyla; Suidae.